Sinocyclocheilus anshuiensis is the source of this 249-nucleotide long non-coding RNA. RefSeq lists it as uncharacterized. The transcript is spliced from 3 exons. Lineage: Eukaryota; Metazoa; Chordata; Actinopteri; Cypriniformes; Cyprinidae. The record is from RefSeq and is a predicted model, not a curated record.
CUCAAAAUGAGCCCAAAGCCGGGAGUAAUAACCGUCAGAACUGGAAAUUGCGGAUUUGAAUGACUCGAAAAUGUUCAGUAUACCAUUACCAUUGAGAUCUGCAGCUGUGGAAGCCACAAACAUAUCAGAAUGCCACAUAUGUGGUAGGCUAACCCUGUGAAAAACAGUAACUGUCCUGCCAGGCUACCAAGUCAGCAUGUGUGCAUACGGUAUAUUUGAAGACAGGAAGUGUGGUUUCUAAUGGAUAAU